This 434-nucleotide ribosomal RNA is filed under the name uncultured Clostridium sp. Its description in RNAcentral is "partial 16S ribosomal RNA". It matches the Rfam family "Bacterial small subunit ribosomal RNA", at positions 341 to 792 of the family's 1533-position model. The record is from RNAcentral. Lineage: Bacteria; Bacillati; Bacillota; Clostridia; Eubacteriales; Clostridiaceae.
ACGGGAGGCAGCAGUGGGGAGUAUUGCACGAUGGGCGAAAGCCUGAUGCAGCAACGCCGCGUGAGUGAAGAAGUAUUUCGGUAUGUAAAGCUCUAUCGAUGGGGAAUAUAAUGAAGGUACCCAAGUAAGAAGCCCCGGCUAACUACGUGCCAGCAGCCGCGGUAAUACGUAGGGGGCAAGCGUUAUCCGGAUUUACUGGGUGUAAAGGGAGCGUAGACGGUUUGGCAAGUCUGAAGUGAAAUGCGGGGGCUCAACUCCUGAACUGCUUUGGAAACUGUCGAACUAGAGUGCAGGAGAGGUAAGUGGAAUUCCUAGUGUAGCGGUGAAAUGCGUAGAUAUUAGGAGGAACACCAGUGGCGAAGGCGGCUUACUGGACUGUAACUGACGUUGAGGCUCGAAAGCGUGGGGAGCAAACAGGAUUAGAUACCCUGGUA